AAUACCCUUAACAAUGAAAAGGAACACCUAUCUACUUGUUCUUGAUGGAAGGAAACAAUGGCUUCAAAGGUGCAAGGAAAAUAGGCUGAGUGCUGGGGUUCUGCAGGAGGAAAUCAAGAAGGUCAAGGGAGAUUUGAUGGCUUGGCUGGACAUUUCCAGUGUACUCUGCUGCUUCACUGAAUAUUGGAAGAGGUGCAAGGCAGGACAGAGGCACUUCUCUCUCUGGAAAGAGGCAUGUGAAAUGAUCGACCUCGGCAGAAAAGCCCACGGAGGUGCCAAUACCAGGAUAAGGGGAAGAGCUGGGAAGUAGAGAGAAGGACCGAUUCGGUGGCAGGAGUUCAGAGCACGUGCUUGGUGAGGGAGAGAUCGUGUUGAAGCGCAUUAGCACCGUGGAUUAUUACGCAAGCAAAGGAAUCCCACGUAAACGUUGUGACACGGUGCCUUCAGGUUCCUGGGCACCUAGGAAAGAAGUCCUACUAGCGGCAGCAAUGCAAACAGCCCUGCCAGCCACAGGCCGUGAGUCCACCUGACUGCCCUGAGCCUUGCUCACCAGUGAAGCGCCUAGGACCACGUCUAUUAGCACAGUGCCCUAGGCCACACCCACCACCAAAGUGUCCUGCGCUGUGCCUGUUGGGGAACAUCAGCAAAAAGCCGUGACUGCCGCUUGACCCGGGCUUUCGGAGGCUCCUCACCCCAUCCCCUGUCCCGGGAACCGGGUCCUGCCUUCCUUUCCUGCCCCCAAAGGCUGCUCCGAGGA
Leopardus geoffroyi (Geoffroy's cat) is the source of this 757-nucleotide long non-coding RNA. RefSeq lists it as uncharacterized. The transcript has 3 exons. The record is from RefSeq and is a predicted model, not a curated record. Lineage: Eukaryota; Metazoa; Chordata; Mammalia; Carnivora; Felidae.